GUGGGCGCUGGGCGGCGUGGCCGGGCACGCGGGCCUGUUCUCGACGGGCCGGGACCUCGCGGUGUUCUGCCGCACCCUCCUCGCC
RNAcentral lists this transfer RNA (85 nucleotides) under Streptomyces djakartensis. Its description in RNAcentral is "tRNA-Glu". Lineage: Bacteria; Bacillati; Actinomycetota; Actinomycetes; Kitasatosporales; Streptomycetaceae. The record is from RNAcentral.